CCUANGGGUGGCAGCAGUGGGGAAUUUUGGACAAUGGGGGCAACCCUGAUCCAGCAACGCCGCGUGAAGGAUGAAGGUCUUCGGAUUGUAAACUUCUUUUGUAGGGGACGAAUUACCAUGUGAAUAAUAUGGAAUGACGGUACUCUACGAAUAAGCCACGGCUAACUUCGUGCCAGCAGCCGCGGUAAUACGAAGGUGGCAAGCGUUACUCGGAAUUACUAGGCGUAAAGCGCAGGUAGGUGGUUAGGUAAGUCCAUAAUGAAAUCUCCCGGCUUAACUGGGAGGGGUUUAUGGAUACUGCUUGACUUGAGUGUGGGAGAGGGUACUGGAAUUCCCGGUGUAGCGGUGAAAUGCGUAGAGAUCGGGAGGAACACCAAUGGCGAAAGCAGGUACCUGGCCCAAUACUGACGCUGAGCUGCGAAAGCUAGGGGAGCAAACAGGAUUAGAUACCCUGNUANUC
RNAcentral lists this ribosomal RNA (460 nucleotides) under uncultured bacterium. Its description in RNAcentral is "bacterial SSU rRNA". It matches the Rfam family "Bacterial small subunit ribosomal RNA", at positions 338 to 795 of the family's 1533-position model. The record is from RNAcentral.